ACUCUCUGCCUCCAAGCACGAAAUUGUCCUGGCUCGGUGACACUGCAGAACUUGGACCCCAGUGGGACAGUAUGUUGGACUUUUUCUUUCCAACAACAUGCAUCAUCAGGGACAAUAAGGAGUUGGUGGCAUGUAAUAACCAGCCAUAUAUCAGCAAAACUGAAUGUUUAAGUUCCAAGUGCUGUUUUUCAUCAUCUGGGACUGAAAUCAAAUGCCAUGCCCCACUAAGGGAUAAGCCUACACAGAUGCUCCGGCUGUUUGGAUGUGUUAUGAUCAGCAUGGUAAUCCUGGGAUUUCUGCCUGUGUACUGCUGUUCCCUUUGCCGGAGGAGGAAGAAAAUGAACAGGAUAUUGAAGGUUUUGAAGAAACAGAAAGCAAAACUGAAGAAGGAGCCGAAAGGAAGGAUGGUGUCAGAAGAGAGAGCUUUAAUUUCUGGUUGAGAAUGCAGAUGCCAGAAGAGACUUCCUUAGUCAUCUAAAUCCAGUUUAGAAAGUCUAUUUUUCGUUGUACUUUCCAAUCAAAAUAAAGUUCUAUUGCAUACACC
This 544-nucleotide long non-coding RNA is filed under the name Rattus norvegicus (Norway rat). RNAcentral describes it as "long non-coding RNA NONRATT002875". The record is from RNAcentral. Lineage: Eukaryota; Metazoa; Chordata; Mammalia; Rodentia; Muridae.